RNAcentral lists this ribosomal RNA (489 nucleotides) under uncultured bacterium. RNAcentral's name for it is "bacterial SSU rRNA". It matches the Rfam family "Bacterial small subunit ribosomal RNA", at positions 29 to 511 of the family's 1533-position model. The record is from RNAcentral.
AGCGAACGUUUGCGGCGGGCUUAACACAUGCAAGUCGAACGGGCUGUUCCUUCGGGGGCAGUCAGUGGCGCACGGGUGCGUAACACGUAGGUAAUCAACCCUCUGGUUGGGGAUAACACUUCGAAAGGAGUGCUAAUACCCGGUAUGGCGCAGCGGUCUUCGGAUCGCGGCGAGAAAGACCCGCAAGGGUUGCCAGAGGACGAGCCUGCGGCCCAUCAGCUAGUUGGCGAGGUAACGGCUCACCAAGGCGAAGACGGGUAGCUGGUCUGAGAGGAUGAUCAGCCACACUGGAACUGAGACACGGUCCAGACUCCUACGGGAGGCAGCAGUGGGGAAUAUUGCGCAAUGGGCGAAAGCCUGACGCAGCCACGCCGCGUGAGCGAUGAAGGCCUCGGUCGUAAGACUCUGUGGGAGGAGAAGAAUAAAGACCUGUGAAGAGCAGGCCUUGACGGUAGUCUCCUUAGCAAGCACCGGCUAACUCCGUGCCAG